AAUUGGCCCCUSGAAACGGCRAGUGAAGCGGCAACAGCUCAAAUUUGAAAUCUGGCUCUCGGGCCCGAGUUGYAAUUUGUAGAGGAUACUUUUGAUGCGGUGCCUUCCGAGUUCCCUGGUAMGGGACGCCAUAGAGGGUGAGAGCCCCGUCUGGUUGGAUGCCAAAUCUCUGUAAAGUUCCUUCGACSAGUCGAGUAGUUUGGGAAUGCUGCUCUAAAUGGGAGGUAUAUGUCUUCUAAAGCUAAAUACCGGCCAGAGACCGAUAGCGCACAAGUARAGUGAUCKAAAGAUGAAAAGCACUUUGAAAARAGAGUUAAAMAKUAYGUGAAAUUGUUGAAAGGGAARCGUUUAUGACCAGACUUGGGCUUGGUUAAUCAUCUGGGGUUCYCCCCAGUGCACUUUUCCAGUCCAGGCCASCMUCMSUUUUCCCCGGGGGAUAAAKACUUCSGGAAUGUGGCUCUCUUCSGGGAGUGUUA
Molecule: ribosomal RNA, 476 nt
Filed under: Fusarium subglutinans
Lineage: Eukaryota; Fungi; Ascomycota; Sordariomycetes; Hypocreales; Nectriaceae
Description: partial 28S ribosomal RNA
Rfam family: Eukaryotic large subunit ribosomal RNA
Source: RNAcentral